RNAcentral lists this antisense RNA (69 nucleotides) under Actinokineospora bangkokensis. Its description in RNAcentral is "ASpks TB sRNA". It matches the Rfam family "ASpks TB sRNA". The record is from Rfam by way of RNAcentral. Lineage: Bacteria; Bacillati; Actinomycetota; Actinomycetes; Pseudonocardiales; Pseudonocardiaceae.
CUUGAUGGAGCCCAGCAGCAGCGGCUGGGCCCGGUCCUGGCCGUAGGCGGCGAGCAGCGCUUGGGCCUC